UAUAUAUCUUCUCAAGGAUGUUGGCUCUCACACACGUGCACAAUAAAUUGCUAUUUACAGACUAAGAUAGCCCAAGACCUGCAACAUACCAACUGCUGCAUGGUCACUGAAGUUCUGACAUGUCAAUCACCAUGUUAAAUGCCGGAAUAGGUUUUUGCUUGUUUGUUUUGUUUCUGUUUUUAUUUUUCUGGGAACUUCGGUUAACUUCCAAGUCAGGCUAUUUAAUGAUGAGAAAAUGAAGACUCUCAGGAGACUGGAAACAGUGAGCAUGUUUUGGAAAGUGAAUGGGCCACAGCCCUAAGGAAGAAGAACAUGGCCAAGCAUAGGACAUUCAUAACAAGAACCAGUCCCAGCCGAGUCUGGAGAGGCCUUUAACCCAUCCAGAACAGAAGAGACACUAGGAGAUUACAAAUGCGAUGCAGAUUUGGACCAUAUCAUUGGCACUUCCAGCUCAAAGGGCCAAAGCCUGCUAGAUGGAAGACAUCUGCUGCUGGCUGUCAGCUGGGCACACAUUUAAAACAUUCUCCAGCUUUUCUCAUUGGGAACAAAAAUGUAACCGGAAGGCCAUGAAGAAGCCAAUAUUGAUUUUCUAAAGAAGUCAUUUUAUAUGGCCUGAAAAGGACCCAAAGCAAGAUUGGUCAAAGGAUGCUUGGAAUUGGAGAUGGCUGCUGCCUGAAUGGAGGAAACCUGGGAAGGAAUGAUUCUGACAGUAUACAAUGUGGAGUCACUUUGCAAAAAAAAAAUUCUCAUAUUUACUCAUU
Long non-coding RNA from Mesocricetus auratus (golden hamster), 761 nucleotides. RefSeq lists it as uncharacterized. The transcript is spliced from 2 exons. The record is from RefSeq and is a predicted model, not a curated record. Lineage: Eukaryota; Metazoa; Chordata; Mammalia; Rodentia; Cricetidae.